RNAcentral lists this ribosomal RNA (253 nucleotides) under uncultured bacterium. RNAcentral's name for it is "partial 16S ribosomal RNA". It matches the Rfam family "Bacterial small subunit ribosomal RNA", at positions 524 to 776 of the family's 1533-position model. The record is from RNAcentral.
UACAGAGGGUGCAAGCGUUAAUCGGAAUUACUGGGCGUAAAGGGUGCGUAGGUGGUUUUAUAAGUGAGAUGUGAAAUCCCCGGGCUUAACCUGGGAACUGCAUCUUAUACUGGGUAACUGGAGUACAUUAGAGGGUAGUGGAAUUUCCGGUGUAGCGGUGAAAUGCGUAGAUAUCGGAAGGAACACCAGUGGCGAAGGCGGCUACCUGGAAUGAUACUGACACUGAGGCGCGAGAGCGUGGGGAGCAAACAGG